GGGUUGUGAGGUUAAGCGACUAAGCGUACACGGUGGAUGCCCUGGCAGUCAGAGGCGAUGAAGGACGUGCUAAUCUGCGAAAAGCGUCGGUAAGGUGAUAUGAACCGUUAUAACCGGCGAUGUCCGAAUGGGGAAACCCAGUGCAAUUCGUUGCACUAUCGUUAACUGAAUACAUAGGUUAACGAGGCGAACCGGGGGAACUGAAACAUCUAAGUACCCCGAGGAAAAGAAAUCAACCGAGAUUCCCCCAGUAGCGGCGAGCGAACGGGGAGCAGCCCAGAGUCUGAAUCAGCUUGUGUGUUAGUGGAACGGUCUGGAAAGUCCGACGGUACAGGGUGAUAGUCCCGUACACCAAAAUGCACAGGCUGUGAACUCGAAGAGUAGGGCGGGACACGUGGUAUCCUGUCUGAAUAUGGGGGGACCAUCCUCCAAGGCUAAAUACUCCUGACUGACCGAUAGUGAACCAGUACCGUGAGGGAAAGGCGAAAAGAACCCCGGCGAGGGGAGUGAAAAAGAACCUGAAACCGUGUACGUACAAGCAGUGGGAGCACCUUCGGGUGUGACUGCGUACCUUUUGUAUAAUGGGUCAGCGACUUAUAUUCUGUAGCAAGGUUAACCGUAUAGGGGAGCCGCAGGGAAACCGAGUCUUAACUGGGCGUUAAGUUGCAGGGUAUAGACCCGAAACCCGGUGAUCUAGCCAUGGGCAGGUUGAAGGUUGGGUAACACUAACUGGAGGACCGAACCGACUAAUGUUGAAAAAUUAGCGGAUGACUUGUGGCUGGGGGUGAAAGGCCAAUCAAACCGGGAGAUAGCUGGUUCUCCCCGAAAGCUAUUUAGGUAGCGCCUCGUGAACUCAUCUUCGGGGGUAGAGCACUGUUUCGGCUAGGGGGUCAUCCCGACUUACCAACCCGAUGCAAACUACGAAUACCGAAGAAUGUUAUCACGGGAGACACACGGCGGGUGCUAACGUCCGUCGUGAAGAGGGAAACAACCCAGACCGCCAGCUAAGGUCCCAAAGUCAUGGUUAAGUGGGAAACGAUGUGGGAAGGCACAGACAGCCAGGAUGUUGGCUUAGAAGCAGCCAUCAUUUAAAGAAAGCGUAAUAGCUCACUGGUCGAGUCGGCCUGCGCGGAAGAUGUAACGGGGCUAAACCAUGCACCGAAGCUGCGGCAGCGACACUAUGUGUUGUUGGGUAGGGGAGCGUUCUGUAAGCCUGCGAAGGUGUGCUGUGAGGCAUGCUGGAGGUAUCAGAAGUGCGAAUGCUGACAUAAGUAACGAUAAAGCGGGUGAAAAGCCCGCUCGCCGGAAGACCAAGGGUUCCUGUCCAACGUUAAUCGGGGCAGGGUGAGUCGACCCCUAAGGCGAGGCCGAAAGGCGUAGUCGAUGGGAAACAGGUUAAUAUUCCUGUACUUGGUGUUACUGCGAAGGGGGGACGGAGAAGGCUAUGUUAGCCGGGCGACGGUUGUCCCGGUUUAAGCAUGUAGGCUGGUUGUCCAGGCAAAUCCGGAUAAUCAAGGCUGAGGUGUGAUGACGAGGUACUACGGUGCUGAAGUAACAAAUGCCCUGCUUCCAGGAAAAGCCUCUAAGCAUCAGGUAACAUCAAAUCGUACCCCAAACCGACACAGGUGGUCAGGUAGAGAAUACCAAGGCGCUUGAGAGAACUCGGGUGAAGGAACUAGGCAAAAUGGUGCCGUAACUUCGGGAGAAGGCACGCUGGUGUGUAGGUGAAGUCCCUGCGGAUGGAGCUGAGACCAGUCGAAGAUACCAGCUGGCUGCAACUGUUUAUUAAAAACACAGCACUGUGCAAACACGAAAGUGGACGUAUACGGUGUGACGCCUGCCCGGUGCCGGAAGGUUAAUUGAUGGGGUUAUCCGUAAGGAGAAGCUCUUGAUCGAAGCCCCGGUAAACGGCGGCCGUAACUAUAACGGUCCUAAGGUAGCGAAAUUCCUUGUCGGGUAAGUUCCGACCUGCACGAAUGGCGUAAUGAUGGCCAGGCUGUCUCCACCCGAGACUCAGUGAAAUUGAACUCGCUGUGAAGAUGCAGUGUACCCGCGGCAAGACGGAAAGACCCCGUGAACCUUUACUAUAGCUUGACACUGAACAUUGAGCCUUGAUGUGUAGGAUAGGUGGGAGGCUUUGAAGCGUGGACGCCAGUCUGCGUGGAGCCAACCUUGAAAUACCACCCUUUAAUGUUUGAUGUUCUAACGUUGGCCCCUUACCGGGGUUGCGGACAGUGUCUGGUGGGUAGUUUGACUGGGGCGGUCUCCUCCCAAAGCGUAACGGAGGAGCACGAAGGUUAGCUAAUCCUGGUCGGACAUCAGGAGGUUAGUGCAAUGGCAUAAGCUAGCUUGACUGCGAGCGUGACGGCGCGAGCAGGUGCGAAAGCAGGUCAUAGUGAUCCGGUGGUUCUGAAUGGAAGGGCCAUCGCUCAACGGAUAAAAGGUACUCCGGGGAUAACAGGCUGAUACCGCCCAAGAGUUCAUAUCGACGGCGGUGUUUGGCACCUCGAUGUCGGCUCAUCACAUCCUGGGGCUGAAGUAGGUCCCAAGGGUAUGGCUGUUCGCCAUUUAAAGUGGUACGCGAGCUGGGUUUAGAACGUCGUGAGACAGUUCGGUCCCUAUCUGCCGUGGGCGCUGGAGAAUUGAGGGGGGCUGCUCCUAGUACGAGAGGACCGGAGUGGACGCAUCACUGGUGUUCGGGUUGUCAUGCCAAUGGCACUGCCCGGUAGCUAAAUGCGGAAGAGAUAAGUGCUGAAAGCAUCUAAGCACGAAACUUGCCCCGAGAUGAGUUCUCCCUGAGACUUUAAGUCUCCUGAAGGAACGUUAAAGACGAUGACGUUGAUAGGCCGGGUGUGUAAGCGCAGCGAUGCGUUGAGCUAACCGGUACUAAUGAACCGUGAGGCUUAACCUUACAACGCCGAAG
RNAcentral lists this ribosomal RNA (2923 nucleotides) under Klebsiella pneumoniae. RNAcentral's name for it is "23S ribosomal RNA". It matches the Rfam family "Bacterial large subunit ribosomal RNA". Lineage: Bacteria; Pseudomonadati; Pseudomonadota; Gammaproteobacteria; Enterobacterales; Enterobacteriaceae. The record is from RNAcentral.